GAUGAACGCUGGCGGCGUGCCUAAUACAUGCAAGUCGAGCGAACAGACGAUGAGCUUGCUCCUUUGACGUUAGCGGCGGACGUGUGAGUAACACGUGGGUAACCUACCUAUAAGACUGGGAUAACUUCGGGAAACCGGAGCUAAUACCGGAUAAUAUUUCGAACCGCAUGGUUCGAUAGUGAAAGAUGGCUUUGCUAUCACUUAUAGAUGGACCUGCGCCGUAUUAGCUAGUUGGUAAGGUAACGGCUUACCAAGGCAACGAUACGUAGCCGACCUGAGAGGGUGAUCGGCCACACUGGAACUGAGACACGGUCCAGACUCCGACGGGAGGCAGCAGUAGGGAAUCUUCCGCAAUGGGCGAAAGCCUGACGGAGCAACGCCGCGUGAGUGAUGAAGGUCUUCGGAUCGUAAAACGCUGUUAUUAGGGAAGAACAAACGUGUAAGUAACUGUGCACGUCCUGACGGUACCUAAUCAGAAAGCCACGGCUAACUACGUG
This 497-nucleotide ribosomal RNA is filed under the name uncultured bacterium. RNAcentral's name for it is "partial 16S ribosomal RNA". It matches the Rfam family "Bacterial small subunit ribosomal RNA", at positions 28 to 507 of the family's 1533-position model. The record is from RNAcentral.